GAUGAAGACGCAGCGAAAUGCGAUACUUGGUGUGAAUUGCAGAAUCCCGUGAACCAUCGAGUCUUUGAACGCAAGUUGCGCCUCAAGCCAUUAGGUUGAGGGCACGUCUGCCUGGGCGUCACAUAUCGUUGCCUGAUGCCAGUUUCCUCGUGAUGGGUGACUGUGCAGGGCGAAUGAUGGCUUCCCGUGAGCAUUGUUGCCUCAUGGUUGGUUGAAAAUUGAGUCCUUGGUAGGGAGCGCCGUGAUAGAUGGUGGUUGAGUGACGAACGAGACCCAAUCAUGUGAGACCCCUACCGAAUUUGGCCUUCAUGACCCACAUGCGUCUUUGGAACGCUCAUGACGAGACCUCAGGUCAGGCGGGGCUACCCGCUGAGUUUAAGCAUAUCAAUAAGCGGAGGA
RNAcentral lists this unclassified non-coding RNA (399 nucleotides) under soil metagenome. RNAcentral's name for it is "partial contains 5.8S ribosomal RNA, internal transcribed spacer 2, and large subunit ribosomal RNA". The stretch from base 1 to 121 matches the Rfam family "5.8S ribosomal RNA", at positions 35 to 154 of the family's 154-position model. The record is from RNAcentral.